Molecule: ribosomal RNA, 582 nt
Filed under: Metarhizium anisopliae
Lineage: Eukaryota; Fungi; Ascomycota; Sordariomycetes; Hypocreales; Clavicipitaceae
Description: eukaryotic LSU rRNA
Rfam family: 5.8S ribosomal RNA (bases 202-355)
Source: RNAcentral
UGAGAAAAGGGGGCGAAGGGAGGAACUAAAGGGUCUCCGUUGGUGAACCAGCGGAGGGAUCAUUACCGAGUUAUCCAACUCCCAACCCCUGUGAAUCAUACCUUUAAUUGUUGCUUCGGCGGGACUUCGCGCCCGCCGGGGACCCAAACCUUCUGAAUUUUUUAAUAAGUAUCUUCUGAGUGGUUAAAAAAAAUGAAUCAAAACUUUCAACAACGGAUCUCUUGGUUCUGGCAUCGAUGAAGAACGCAGCGAAAUGCGAUAAGUAAUGUGAAUUGCAGAAUUCAGUGAAUCAUCGAAUCUUUGAACGCACAUUGCGCCCGUCAGUAUUCUGGCGGGCAUGCCUGUUCGAGCGUCAUUACGCCCCUCAAGUCCCCUGUGGACUUGGUGUUGGGGAUCGGCGAGGCUGGUUUUCCAGCACAGCCGUCCCUUAAAUUAAUUGGCGGUCUCGCCGUGGCCCUCCUCUGCGCAGUAGUAAAGCACUCGCAACAGGAGCCCGGCGCGGUCCACUGCCGUAAAACCCCCCAACUUUUUAUAGUUGACCUCGAAUCAGGUAGGACUACCCGCUGAACUUAAGCAUAUGAA